Molecule: long non-coding RNA, 318 nt
Filed under: Nicotiana benthamiana
Lineage: Eukaryota; Viridiplantae; Streptophyta; Magnoliopsida; Solanales; Solanaceae
Description: long non-coding RNA (NBEN_LNC022544)
Source: RNAcentral
UCCUUCUUUCAAACACAACUUGAUUUCUGUCCACAAGUUAGUAAAACAGUUGCAUUGCAUAGUAUUGUUCACUGCAACUUCCUGUUUCCUUCACUUGUUACAGGCCCCUUCUCUGAGGAUGCCUCUGGAUCAUCGUAAAGAGGAGGCUGGUCUGUACAAGCUUGCUUGGGUGCCACUUUCAUCUUCUUCUAAUUGUUGUUCUUCCGUUUCUGAAUGUUCUUCUUCUUCUGUUUCUUGUAAACCUGAGCAUUCUAGUCAUCAAGCUGUUAGUUUUCCUUUGAACGUAAACAGUUCCAUGUGUAAUAAUACUGUUGCCAC